RNAcentral lists this ribosomal RNA (465 nucleotides) under uncultured bacterium. Its description in RNAcentral is "partial 16S ribosomal RNA". It matches the Rfam family "Bacterial small subunit ribosomal RNA", at positions 28 to 507 of the family's 1533-position model. The record is from RNAcentral.
GAUGAACGCUGGCGGCGUGCUUAACACAUGCAAGUCGAACGGAAAGGCCCCUGCUUGCAGGGGUACUCGAGUGGCGAACGGGUGAGUAACACGUGGGUGAUCUGCCCUGCACUUCGGGAUAAGCCUGGGAAACUGGGUCUAAUACCGGAUAGGACGAUGGUUUGGAUGCCAUUGUGGAAAGUUUUUCGGUGUGGGAUGAGCUCGCGGCCUAUCAGCUUGUUGGUGGGGUAAUGGCCUACCAAGGCGUCGACGGGUAGCCGGCCUGAGAGGGUGUACGGCCACAUUGGGACUGAGAUACGGCCCAGACUCCUACGGGAGGCAGCAGUGGGGAAUAUUGCACAAUGGGCGCAAGCCUGAUGCAGCGACGCCGCGUGGGGGAUGACGGCCUUCGGGUUGUAAACUCCUUUCGUCAGGGACGAAGCGAAAGUGACGGUACCUGGAUAAGAAGCACCGGCUAACUACGUG